Molecule: non-coding RNA, 74 nt
Organism: Myotis davidii
Lineage: Eukaryota; Metazoa; Chordata; Mammalia; Chiroptera; Vespertilionidae
Source: Rfam
GGCAGUUCUUGGGUGACACAUCCUUGAAUCAGGCUCCCUCCUCUCUGGUUCCGGGUGUGUCACCAAGAAUUGCA